UACGUAGGCAGCGAGCGUUGUUCGGAGUUACUGGGCGUAAAGGGUGUGUAGGCGGUUGUUUAAGUUUGGUGUGAAAUCUCCCGGCUCAACUGGGAGGGUGCGCCGAAUACUGAAUGACUUGGAGUACGGGAGAGGUGAGUGGAAUUCCUGGUGUAGCGGUGAAAUGCGUAGAUAUCAGGAGGAACACCGGUGGUGUAGACGGCUCACUGGACCGUAACUGACGCUGAGACACGAAAGCGUGGGUAGCAAACAGG
Molecule: ribosomal RNA, 254 nt
Filed under: uncultured bacterium
Lineage: Bacteria
Description: partial 16S ribosomal RNA
Rfam family: Bacterial small subunit ribosomal RNA
Source: RNAcentral